UACGUAGGCAGCGAGCGUUGUUCGGAUUUACUGGGCGUAAAGCGCACGUAGGCGGAUCGAUCAGUCAGGGGUGAAAUCCCAGAGCUCAACUCUGGAACUGCCUUUGAUACUGUCGAUCUGGAGUAUGGAAGAGGUGAGUGGAAUUCCGAGUGUAGAGGUGAAAUUCGUAGAUAUUCGGAGGAACACCAGUGGCGAAGGCGGCUCACUGGUCCAUUACUGACGCUGAGGUGCGAAAGCGUGGGGAGCAAACAGG
Molecule: ribosomal RNA, 253 nt
Filed under: uncultured bacterium
Lineage: Bacteria
Description: partial 16S ribosomal RNA
Rfam family: Bacterial small subunit ribosomal RNA
Source: RNAcentral